AAUGAUUAAUACUAUUUGGAGGAUAUUUUUACCCUAGAUAAAGCUAAAUUGUUUUUAUAAAAAGCUAUGAAAGAAAAAAUCGUUUACUAAGCAUUUUCCUAAUUCAUCUCGAUCGUCGAAGAAUAAACGCACAAAAUAUAGAAACUAAUAAAAAGUUUUAGGAUCGAUAUCUAUUUUAAUCUGACAGUAUGAGGGAAUUUUGAUAAAACCUAGCCAAAAUUUUAAAUAUUUCUGUAAAUUAAAUUUCUUAUCGGCUAUAAUGAGUAUACGAUAACGAUAUUUACCAGCAAGCUUUGACAUUAAUGAGCGCGCUGGUCCUAAGAUUUUUACGUUUGCUUUUGGUGCAAUUUGGACAAUCUUUCUGGCAAUAUCUAAAAUUUUAGACUCACUGAAACCUGACAAAAUUAAAGAUGCCGUUUUAGAAAAUGGAGGCAUAUUUGCUGCUUUUCUUAUUUCAAGUUCAUUUGUAAAAAAGCGAUCUUCAUCACCAACCUUAACAUAACUAAAAAUUAUAUUAUCAGGAUAAUAGCUUUGUAAAUAUACGACCCCUUUACUAUCUCCCCUACCAGCUCUACCACCUACUUG
RNAcentral lists this small RNA (585 nucleotides) under Rickettsia prowazekii. Its description in RNAcentral is "partial sR16 non-coding RNA". Lineage: Bacteria; Pseudomonadati; Pseudomonadota; Alphaproteobacteria; Rickettsiales; Rickettsiaceae. The record is from RNAcentral.